RNAcentral lists this ribosomal RNA (445 nucleotides) under uncultured bacterium. RNAcentral's name for it is "partial 16S ribosomal RNA". It matches the Rfam family "Bacterial small subunit ribosomal RNA", at positions 330 to 792 of the family's 1533-position model. The record is from RNAcentral.
ACCAGACUCCUACGGGAGGCAGCAGUGGGGGAUAUUGCACAAUGGGGGGAACCCUGAUGCAGCGACGCCGCGUGGGUGAAGAAGCGCCUCGGCGCGUAAAGCCCUGUCAGCAGGGAAGAAAAUGACGGUACCUGAAGAAGAAGCCCCGGCUAACUACGUGCCAGCAGCCGCGGUAAUACGUAGGGGGCAAGCGUUAUCCGGAUUUACUGGGUGUAAAGGGGGCGCAGACGGCGAUGCAAGCCAGGAGUGAAAGCCCGGGGCCCAACCCCGGGACUGCUCUUGGAACUGCGUGGCUGGAGUGCAGGAGGGGCAGGCGGAAUUCCUGGUGUAGCGGUGAAAUGCGUAGAUAUUAGGAGGAACACCAGUGGCGAAGGCGGCCUGCUGGACGGUGACUGACGCUGAGGCUCGAAAGCGUGGGGAGCAAACAGGAUUAGAUGCCCCCGUA